Molecule: ribosomal RNA, 1337 nt
Filed under: metagenome
Description: bacterial LSU rRNA
Rfam family: Bacterial large subunit ribosomal RNA
Source: RNAcentral
UGAGUACGAGCUGCUACGGCAGCGAAGUGGGUGACGUCAAGCUUCCAAGAAAAGCCCUAUACCCGUUAAGGCAUGAUGGCCUGUACCCGAAACCGACACAGGUGGGGUGGUAGAGAAUACCGAGGGGCGCGAGAUAACUCUCUCUAAGGAACUCGGCAAAAUGGCCCCGUAACUUCGGGAGAAGGGGUGCCACCGCAAGGUGGUCGCAGUGAAGAGGCCCAGGCGACUGUUUACCAAAAACACAGGUCUCCGCUAAGUCGCAAGACGAUGUAUGGGGGCUGACGCCUGCCCAGUGCCGGAAGGUUAAGGAAGCUGGUCAGCGUAAGCGAAGCUAGCGACUGAAGCCCCGGUGAACGGCGGCCGUAACAAUAACGGUCCUAAGGUAGCGAAAUUCCUUGUCGGGUAAGUUCCGACCCGCACGAAAGGCGUAACGAUCUGGGCGCUGUCUCGGAGAGAGGCUCGGCGAAAUAGAAUUGUCUGUGAAGAUGCGGACUACGUGCACCCGGACAGAAAGACCCUAUGAAGCUUUACUGUAGCUUGGUAUUGUGCUCGGGCUCGGAAUGCGCAGGAUAGGUGGGAGGCUAUGAACCAUUGCUUGUGGGUGAUGGUGAGCCACUGGUGAGAUACCACUCUUUCCGAGCUAGAGUUCUAACAGCCACCCGUUAUCCGGGGGCUGGACAGUAUCAGGUGGGCAGUUUGACUGGGGCGGUCGCCUCCUAAAAGGUAACGGAGGCGCGCAAAGGUUUGCUCAGGCUGGUUGGAAAUCAGCCGACGAGUGUAAAAGCAGAAGCAAGCUUGACUGUGAGACCUACAAGUCGAACAGGGAGGAAACUCGGCUUUAGUGAUCCGACGGUUCUGCGUGGAAGGGCCGUCGCUCAACGGAUAAAAGUUACUCUAGGAUAACAGGCUGAUCUCCCCCAAGAGUUCACAUCGACGGGGAGGUUUGGCACCUCGAUGUCGGCUCAUCGCAACCUGGGGCUGAAGUCGGUCCCAAGGGUUGGGCUGUUCGCCCAUUAAAGCGGUACGCGAGCUGGGUUCAGAACGUCGUGAGACAGUUCGGUCCAUAUCCGGUGCAUGCGCAGGAAUAUUGAGAGGAUUUCUCCCUAGUACGAGAGGACCGGGAGGAACGCACCUCUGGUGUACCAGUUAUCGUGCCAACGGUAAACGCUGGGUAGCCAUGUGCGGAGAGGAUAACCGCUGAAAGCAUCUAAGUGGGAAGCCCACCUCAAGAUGAGUAUUCCCAUGGGUUAACCCAGUAAGGUCACGGGAAGAACACCCGUUGAUAGGCUCUACGUGGAAGCGCAGUAAUGUGUGAAGCGGAGGAGUACUAAUAGACC